This is a long non-coding RNA of Clupea harengus (Atlantic herring), 560 nucleotides long. Lineage: Eukaryota; Metazoa; Chordata; Actinopteri; Clupeiformes; Clupeidae. The record is from Ensembl.
CUCUCUCUCUCUCUCUCUCUGUGUAUGUUGUUGGUGGUGUCGAUCUUGGGUAAGAGGCAAACUCCUCUAAAAGGCUGGUUUGUUUUCUCCUAGCUGCACUGAUCGUAUUUGCAUGAGCCUCAACCAUCUCUCCAACGCACAGGCCUGUCUAUGUGUGUGUUUUUGUGUGUGUGUGUGUGUGUGUGUUCGUGUGUGUCUCCAUGUGAGUUUGCCUGUGGUAAUGAGUAGCUGGUGGUUUUAUUAGGGCAAGGUUUCGUAAGUUUCUCCAAAGGCUAGUGUGAUUGUGUUCAGCAGGUCUGUGUAUGUCUUGUGAGUGUGUAAGGCUAGUGUGAUUGUGUUCAGCAGUUCUGUGUAUGUCUUGUGAGUGUGUAAGGCUAGUGUGAUUGUGUUCAGCAGUUCUGUGUAUCUCUCUUGUGAGUGUGUAAAGGUGGAGUAGCUGAUGGGACCUCAAAUCCAGUUUUGCACUUAAGACCAGAAAGUUCCUCUCCUCUCCUCUCCUCUCCUCUCCUCUCGUUCAUUCAAGGCUCUCUUCCUCUUUUUUUUUCUCCCCCCCUCUUCUC